RNAcentral lists this ribosomal RNA (420 nucleotides) under bacterium. RNAcentral describes it as "partial 16S ribosomal RNA". It matches the Rfam family "Bacterial small subunit ribosomal RNA", at positions 355 to 776 of the family's 1533-position model. The record is from RNAcentral.
UGGGGGAUAUUGCACAAUGGGCGAAAGCCUGAUGCAGCGACGCCGCGUGGGGGAUGAAGGCUUUCGGGUUGUAAACCUCUUUCGCUAUCGAACAAGGCCCGCUUAGGGUGGGUUGAGGGCAGGUGGAGAAGAAGCGCCGGCUAACUACGUGCCAGCAGCCGCGGUAAUACGCAGGGCGCGAGCGUUGUCCGGAAUUAUUGGGCGUAAAGGGCUUGUAGGCGGCUUGUUGCGCCUGCUGUGAAAACGCGGGGCUUAACGUCGCGCUUGCAGUGGGUACGGGCAGGCUUGAGUGUGGUAGGGGUGACUGGAAUUCCAGGUGUAGCGGUGGAAUGCGCAGAUAUCUGGAGGAACACCGAUGGCGAAGGCAGGUCACUGGGCCAUUACUGACGCUGAGGAGCGAAAGCAUGGGUAGCGAACAGG